AGAGUUUGAUCAUGGCUCAGAACAAACGCUGGCGGCGUGCCUAAUACAUGCAAGUCGAACGAGGAAAGCUUUCGGGUGAGUACUAGUGGCGCACGGGUGAGGAAUACAUGGGUAAUCUACCUUCGAGUUUGGGAUAACUAGUCGAAAGAUUGGCUAAUACCGGAUAAGACCACAGGAUCUGCGGAUCUAGGGGUUAAAGGUUUUUCGCUUGAAGAUGAGCCCAUGUGGGAUUAGCUAGUUGGUAAGGUAAUGGCUUACCAAGGCUACGAUCCCUAACUGGUCUUAGAGGAUGAUCAGUCACACUGGAACUGAGACACGGUCCAGACUCCUACGGGAGGCAGCAGUAGGGAAUAUUGCGCAAUGGGGGAAACCCUGACGCAGCGACGCCGCGUGAGUGAUGAAGGCCUUCGGGUCGUAAAGCUCUGUCGUAUGGGAAUAACAUAAUGAAUGUACCAUGCAAGAAAGGAUCGGCUAACUUCGUGCCAGCAGCCGCGGUAAGACGAGGGAUCCUAGCGUUGUUCGGAAUCAUUGGGCGUAAAGCGGGUGUAGGCGGGCUUUUAAGUCAGAUGUGAAAUCCCAGGGCUCAACCCUGGAAGUGCAUUUGAUACUGGAAGUCUUGAGUGUGGUAGAGGCUAUUAGAAUUCCUGGUGUAGUGGUGAAAUACGUAGAUAUCAGGAGGAAUACCGGAGGCGAAGGCGGAUAGCUGGGCCAACACUGACGCUGAGACCCGAAAGCGUGGGGAUCAAACAGGAUUAGAUACCCUGGUAGUCCACGCCGUAAACGAUGGAUACUUGUUGUUAGAGGUAUUGACCCCUUUAGUGACGUAGCUAACGCGUUAAGUAUCCCGCCUGGGGAGUACGGUCGCAAGAUUAAACUCAAGAAAUUGACGGGGCCCGCACAAGCGGUGGAGCAUGUGGUUUAAUUCGAUGCAACGCGAAGAACCUUACCUAGGCUUGAC
Molecule: ribosomal RNA, 958 nt
Filed under: uncultured bacterium
Lineage: Bacteria
Description: bacterial SSU rRNA
Rfam family: Bacterial small subunit ribosomal RNA
Source: RNAcentral